This 301-nucleotide ribosomal RNA is filed under the name uncultured bacterium. RNAcentral's name for it is "partial 16S ribosomal RNA". It matches the Rfam family "Bacterial small subunit ribosomal RNA", at positions 509 to 807 of the family's 1533-position model. The record is from RNAcentral.
CAGUCGCCGCGGGAAUACGGAGGGGGCUAGCGUUGUUCGGAAUUACUGGGCGUAAAGCGCACGUAGGCGGCUUUGUAAGUCAGAGGUGAAAGCCCGGGGCUCAACCCCGGAAUUGCCUUUGAGACUGCAUCGCUUGAAUCCAGGAGAGGUGAGUGGAAUUCCGAGUGUAGAGGUGAAAUUCGUAGAUAUUCGGAAGAACACCAGUGGCGAAGGCGGCUCACUGGACUGGUAUUGACGCUGAGGUGCGAAAGCGUGGGGAGCAAACAGGAUUAGAUACCCCCGUAGUCCCUGUCUCUUAUAC